ACUCAAAUGAAUUGACGGGGGCCCGCACAAGCAGUGGAGCAUGUGGUUCAAUUCGAUGCAACGCGAAGAACCUUACCUGGGUUUGAAAGGCUCUGUAAACCGGUGAAAGCCGGCUAGUGUAGCAAUACACGCGGAGUACAGGUGCUGCAUGGCUGUCGUCAGCUCGUGCCGUGAGGUGUUAGGUUAAGUCCUGCAACGAGCGCAACCCCUGCACUUAGUUGCCAUCAGGUAAUGCUGGGCACUCUAGGUGGACUGCCUACGCAAGUAGUGAGGAAGGCGGGGAUGACGUCAAGUCCUCAUGGCCCUUACACCCAGGGCCACACACGUGCUACAAUGGUUGGUACAAAGGGUUGCUAAGCCGCGAGGUGGAGCCAAUCCCAAAAAACCAAUCUCAGUUCGGAUUGGGGUCUGCAACUCGACCCCAUGAAGCUGGAAUUGCUAGUAAUCGCGAAUCAGCACGUCGCGGUGAAUACGUUCCCGGGCCUUGUACACACCGCCCGU
RNAcentral lists this ribosomal RNA (501 nucleotides) under uncultured bacterium. RNAcentral describes it as "partial 16S ribosomal RNA". It matches the Rfam family "Bacterial small subunit ribosomal RNA", at positions 899 to 1397 of the family's 1533-position model. The record is from RNAcentral.